CCUACGGGAGGCAGCAGUGAGGAAUAUUGGUCAAUGGACGCAAGUCUGAACCAGCCAUGCCGCGUGCAGGAAGACGGCUCUAUGAGUUGUAAACUGCUUUUGUACGAGGGUAAACGCAGAUACGCGUAUCUUUCUGAAAGUAUCGUACGAAUAAGGAUCGGCUAACUCCGUGCCAGCAGCCGCGGUAAUCCGGAGGAUUCAAGCGUUAUCCGGAUUUAUUGGGUUUAACGGGUGCGUAGGCGGUCGGAUAAGUUAGAGGUGAAAUCCCGAGGCUCAACUUCGGAAUUACCUCUGAUACUGUUCGGCUAGAGAGUAGUGGCGGUAGGCGGAAUGUAUGGUGUAGCGGUGAAAUGCUUAGAGAUCAUACAGAACACCGAUUGCGAAGGCAGCUUACCAAGCUACUUCUGACGUUGAGGCACGAAAGCGUGGGGAGCAAACAGGAUUAGAUACCCGGGUAGUC
RNAcentral lists this ribosomal RNA (460 nucleotides) under uncultured bacterium. RNAcentral's name for it is "partial 16S ribosomal RNA". It matches the Rfam family "Bacterial small subunit ribosomal RNA", at positions 338 to 795 of the family's 1533-position model. The record is from RNAcentral.